AUCCAGAGUGUUCUACAUCAGUUUAAUUUGAAACCGAUGUAAUGUUCCAUGUACUUCAUAUUCAUGUAAAACACCUCUACUUCUUCGUUCGCCCAAACCUUCUCUGAUCUCAUAUCAUUUUCCACAAGCCUUUCAAUAAGGAGCAAGAGGAGGUCUUGUGUCGCCCUCAUCGACAAGCUCGAAAAACUCCACCAAUCUCUUGCCACUACUUUGGUGGAAAAGAUUGAAGCCUCAAGGAAGGCUCACUACCACGAUGCAAAAACCCUAACUAAGAGCCCCAAAUCGAGAAAGCCAUUGCGCUCAAACGACAUAGUGACAACCGACAAUUAUAGCUACAAAACCCUAGAAUAGAGAAGCCAAAGCAGGUGGAGCAUCUCGUCAAUGCAUUCUUAGGCCUUGCCAAGUCCUCUUUUGUCUCCCUAGAUUUGAAGGCAUUCUCCGUCGUGCUUGCCCUCUCCUUCCUCCUCCUCUUGACACUACUUCCUGUCGCAACAAACUUCUCAGAGUUGAUUUCGUGCAAGGAGUCAAAGCAAAACAAGUGUGAGUUGGGUGUUGAGAAAAAGGAUGGUACAUAAUCAAGGUUAUAUACCAUGAGAUGUGAGGAUCGUGAUGACUCCUAUCUUGGGAUUCCUGCACGGGUUGUUCAAUAUGAAGUUAAUGUCUAUGUUCCCAAAGAUAGAGUCACCAACCACCAUCAGGGUUAUGGAUUUAUUGAGUUCCAGAGUGAAGAAAAUGCUAACUAUGCCAUCAAGGUGCUUAACAUGAUUAAGUUUUGUGGUAAACCGAUCCGUGUCAACAAGGACUGCUGAUCAUACUAAAUGGGUUGGUUCUUUUUACACAAAGCAAGACUUCAUAGAUGUUGUAGAGGUAUCUAUUUUGGUUUGUUUGACUAAUAAUAUUAUUCAUGUAGAUCUUUGAUCCAAUUGGUAUGAUCGUAAAUUACUUCUAACUACUAAUUAUUAUUAUUUAGCACUAAAUUUAUUCUUCAAGCAGUAACUAAGCCUAUGAAGUAAAAGCAUAAAGCUAUGCUUUUAGUCUUGUAGAUACUAAAAUUAGCUAUAAGAAGAUAUAAAGUGAACUUACUAAUUUUUCCCUACUUUUUUUGUCAACAUUUGCUUCUUUUUUCUCUGAUUUUUGUUUCAUAAAUAUUUUUUUAUCUAAACAUCAUAGUAUCAUCAAGAUGCCUUUUGAAUAUUCAAUCAGAAAAAUCUUUGUUUGAUUGCUAGUUUUAAUUUGUCAAGAGGACAUAGCAGACCCUUUUGGUUGGUGGAUAAAAUCAAGAAUGCUUAAAAAUGACUUACUGGCUUGUGGGAGUACUGCUAUUUGCUAGCAUGUUUUCCCUUUUUAUUAAUUGUAUUUAUUUCUACUGGCUUCACAAUUUGUAAACUGAUUUCAAUAUUCAAGUAUUUGAUUUUUUUUGUUCUUUCCUUUUCUUUUCUCAUUUGCCUUGAUAAUUGGAUAGGGGAUGGGGUGAAUAAUUGAAUAUCUGGAGUUUAUUUAUUUAGUGUUAGGUUAGCUUUUACAUAACUUUACCUUAUUUUAGUGUUGUAUUGUAAUAACUGCAAGGGGAACUCCGGAAAGAUAUUUUGUUAUAAUUGCUGUUAUAGAUCAAUUUUCUAUUCCUUUUCAUUCUAAAUCCUUCAAUAUAUAGGAGUCCUGUUGCCAUGGAGCAGAGCCAUCCGUGUGUUUCAUUUCUAAUUUCCAAUGAAAAUGAAUAAUAAAAGUUAAUACAGAAAAAAAACCUAAAUUUUAAUCUAAGUAAACCCAGUGGACUAGUAGGAAAGGAGAAAGUGGUUCACUCAAUAGAUAAACUAAGGGAAUUUUGCUAUCAUUUCACAUAAAUAUUUAAAAUUUUAGUUUUUCUUUUUUAAAACACAAUUCCUAUAUCUGUCCCUUGAUAUAUUGAGUACAUCUUUCUUUGGCAAUAUUUAAAUUUUAGUAUUUUAAAUGAUUUUUUUGUUUUACUAAUUAUUUGUAAAAUUUCCCAGUAUUCUAAUUGAAUUGUCUACUUCCAAGGUAUUUAUUAUCAGUAUUCUUGAAAUUUCUACUGACAAUAUUUAGAGGAGCAAUGAAGGGAAAGCUUAUUGUGAAAUGUCCUCUCUCGCAUGAACGUGUACCAAAAUACCAAAUACUGUACAAGGAUGUUUAAAAAAUAAAUUCAAUCUCUGCUUCCAUUUUUAUUUUCAUAGGGGUGGGGAUAAUUAACUUGAAAAUACUCCAUUGGUAAAUAUUGUUUUGUUUUUGUUCUUCUCUUCCUUUUUGCUUAGUAUGUGCUUGGCUCAUUGAGUUGAGAUCUUUUGUAUAUAUUGAAUUUUUCAUAUUAUGCUGCUUUCAUGAAAUAAGAGUCGGUCAUUCUUUUAUUUAUUUAUUUUUUCUUUAGAAAGAAAAAUAUGUACCUAUAUUUGUUGGAUUGUAGGUCCAGGAUCUGUAUGCUGACUUGCGAGCGUGAUAUAUUAUAUGUAUUUAUCUGAUUUGGAUAAGCUUGCAUGAAAUUGGUGUUAGAACUCUGGAAUUGCAUUGUGAAAAAUAAUAUUUACAUAGCUUUUCAGCAAACUGUAUAUCACGCAAAAUGAAAAUAGAAACCGUUGAUCAUUGCGAGCAUUGUUAAAAACAAGCAUGAUUUUUUUUAUAAAAAAAAUGCAAUCUACAUCGGUUAUCUAAAGAAUAGAUGUAAAUUUAUGUAUAAAUAUAUAUUGGUUUUCCUGAUAACCGAUGUAAAUUUAUGCAUAAAUCUACAUCGAUUCUCAAGAUAACCGAUGUAGAAGGACAUAAAAUUUCUAAGUCACUCUAUUCUACAUCGUUUUUAGAAAUGAUGUAAAUGUCUUCGCAGAACCGAUGUAGAAUAUGCAUCCUAUAGUAGUGUUAGCUAAUGUAUCAUGUGGUAUGAAAUUUUCUGAUACAAAUUAUGAUAUUAGUUUGGAUUAAUUGGAACAAUGUCUAUUGUGAUGUUGUUGGACUAAUUUCUUGGUAUUAAGUUGGUCUUGUGGCAUUAAUUUUUGAGCAAAGGGUUCUUGUGCAUAAUUCAAUACAUAAGAAACCUGGACAUAUGAAUAUAUCUUGUUGUUUUUGAUGAUGUCCAAAGGGGGAGAAAGGUUUUUGAGUUUGUUUUGCAGGACUUAAAAUGUGAAAAUACUAGUUUGCAAAACAAAAUGGCUUGUAUGGUUUGUCAUCAUCAAAAAGGGGGAGAUUGUUGAGAUUCAUGGAGUGGUGAAUCAACUCAAACUUGGAGUAUGAAAGUUUUGAUGAUAACAAAAGGAGGAUUUUGAGAAUCAAAAGCUAACCAAGGACAUCAAAAAGUCAAAAACAAAGUCAAGAAGAAAAUAUGGCUACUAUGAUGUGUAAUAGGGAUAGCUCAUAAGUUUUAUUAUUUUGUUUAGCUUA
This is a long non-coding RNA of Cajanus cajan (pigeon pea), 3381 nucleotides long. RefSeq lists it as uncharacterized. The record is from RefSeq and is a predicted model, not a curated record. Lineage: Eukaryota; Viridiplantae; Streptophyta; Magnoliopsida; Fabales; Fabaceae.